CUGUUCAGGUUGGCAGCAAACAUACUCAACUGGAAUGAUAUAGGGAAGAUUGGCAUUGUCCCUGUACAAAGAUGACACAAAUUCAUAAAAACAAAACAAAACAGUG
This 106-nucleotide small nuclear RNA is filed under the name Castor canadensis (American beaver). The record is from RNAcentral. Lineage: Eukaryota; Metazoa; Chordata; Mammalia; Rodentia; Castoridae.